Pistacia vera is the source of this 543-nucleotide long non-coding RNA. RefSeq lists it as uncharacterized. Lineage: Eukaryota; Viridiplantae; Streptophyta; Magnoliopsida; Sapindales; Anacardiaceae. The record is from RefSeq and is a predicted model, not a curated record. The transcript has 3 exons.
GUUGAUUUCAUAAGUAGAGCUAGUUAUUUGUGCUCGAAACAAGAUGCCGUGGGGUUGUGUAAAUAGUAUUGCGGAAUCAGAAAUGUUCGGCUUCUGCAAAAUUUUGCUGUGAUAUCUUACUUAAUAGACCCUUAUUGGCCACUGCAGGGAGCUUUCAAACACAGUUCUUGUCCACUAUCGAGAAGUAAAGCCCUCAGAAAAUUCCUGACUUCCAGUCAUGGAAUCAUUUCGCGAAAAUUUGUGAUGUCAAUGUUGGAUCUCUUCCUUCUCAAUGUCACCCAUCAUUUUCUUCCACUCAAACCAAAACCAUUGGAAGCAUUCCUUAACAAGGUGGAAUUUUGGAACAGCUUUUUGCCAAAAGUUUUGGUGAAUCCCAGGAGUUUGGGAGUCACCUACAGGUCCAUGGGGAGUAGCAGACAUUCGAAAAUGAUUCUGCUAGCAAAUGUCUCACAUAUUCAGACUUGGCACAAGAUCUUACUUCAAGGUUUUCUGAGCAAGACAUUGAUUGUGUUGAUUUACUUGAUUCCUUUGCACCUUCAUGUG